GGGAGCCCACCAAGCCGAGAAUACAAGAAAUGAAGAUUCUGAAAAAGAAGCUGAUGACCAAGAUAAGGGAUAGAAAGAUGACGUGUUUGCUUGAAGAGUGAGGGAACACUGGUUCGAGCCCUGGUCCGGGAAGAUCCCACAUGCCGCGGAGCAACUAAGUUCGUGUGCCACAACUAAUGAGCCUGUGCUAUAGAGCCCGCGAGCCACAACUACUGAAGCCCGUGUGCCUAGAGCCCAUGCUCUGCAACAAGAGAAGCCACCGCAUUGAGAAGUCCUCGCACCGCAAUGAAGAGUAGCCCCUGCUCGCCACAACUAGAGAAAGCCCGCGCGUAGCAACGAAGACCCAAUGCAGCCAAAAAUA
Molecule: long non-coding RNA, 361 nt
Organism: Eubalaena glacialis (North Atlantic right whale)
Lineage: Eukaryota; Metazoa; Chordata; Mammalia; Artiodactyla; Balaenidae
Exons: 3
Source: RefSeq, a predicted model, not a curated record